Molecule: long non-coding RNA, 704 nt
Organism: Syngnathus acus (greater pipefish)
Lineage: Eukaryota; Metazoa; Chordata; Actinopteri; Syngnathiformes; Syngnathidae
Exons: 4
Source: RefSeq, a predicted model, not a curated record
AACAAUUGUAAAUAGUUAAAACAAUUGGUUACAAUUCACCUUUGCUUAUGCGAUUAUUUGUGUACUGUAUCUUUAAAACGGUACGCGUGUGGCAGCCAAUCAGCGUGGCCUAACUUUAUUACCGGAAGUGAGCACGUGAAAUUGAAAUCAACGCAUUAUGGAAGAUUUGUUUCAUAUCAAGUUUUGACAAAAGAUUCGUAAACAUUCCUUUUGGGCAAUGACGCUUGCAAGACAAAUCCAAUGCAGGAGGGAUGAGGAUCAUCAUCUGGAGAGAAAUGACAGAUUCUUCACAGUGUACCAUCGCUGAUGACAAACGAUUCAUGAUGGAGAUCAAAGUUGUUUUGAUGGAGUCCAAGAAGAGCAAGUCUCGAUGGUCCGGCUUCCUGGUGUGGGCUUUAACCACCGUGUUGGGUCCUCCCAAGCGGCGGCACCAGCUGCAGCGCGGUGAUGCAUUUUGUCUGCGGGCAGCAGGCAGCGCUGCCCUCUGAGUCCUUCCGCUCCAUAUCAGUCACAGCGCGCCCCAUCAGACGUCCGCCGAGGCAAAUGCAAACGCGCCGUGUGCACAGUAGAGGGUCGGCAUGACUUAUUAUUAUCGAGGUUGUUUUUCCCCUGUGCCUUCCAAUGCAGCAGGCAAGUCAUGUCUGGAAAUAUGUUUAACACUGCCAUGCCCAAGAGCCUUACACAAUAUGGACAAAUAUCUUCAA